GUGGGGAAUCUUGCGCAAUGGGCGAAAGCCUGACGCAGCCAUGCCGCGUGAAUGAUGAAGGUCUUAGGAUUGUAAAAUUCUUUCACCGGGGACGAUAAUGACGGUACCCGGAGAAGAAGCUCCGGCUAACUUCGUGCCAGCAGCCGCGGUAAUACGAAGGGGGCUAGCGUUGCUCGGAAUUACUGGGCGGAAAGGGCGCGUAGGCGGACAGCUUAGUCAGAGGUGAAAGCCCAGGGCUCAACCUUGGAAUUGCCUUUGAUACUGGCUGUCUUGAGUUUGGGAGAGGUGAGUGGAACUCCGAGUGUAGAGGUGAAAUUCGUAGAUAUUCGGAAGAACACCAGUGGCGAAGGCGACUCACUGGCCCAAUACUGACGCUGAGGCGCGAAAGCGUGGGGAGCAAACAGGAUUAGAAACCCCGGUAGUCC
This 425-nucleotide ribosomal RNA is filed under the name uncultured bacterium. RNAcentral describes it as "partial 16S ribosomal RNA". It matches the Rfam family "Bacterial small subunit ribosomal RNA", at positions 354 to 796 of the family's 1533-position model. The record is from RNAcentral.